AUGCCUGUGGUGAGCGCCUCCCAGGGCGCCGUGCAGGUCCUGUUGGGGAAGCUCGGCAACAUCCUCGCCACAAAAUAUGCGCUUCUCAGCGGCGUUCGUGGGGAGAUCCAGGAGCUCAAGGACGAGCUCGAGAGCAUGACCGCAUGCCUACACGACCUCGCGGACGAUGAUGAUCACAACGAACAAACUAGGACUUGGAUGAAGCAAGUGAGGGAGGUUGCGUUCGAUGUGGAGGACUGUAUGGACAGGUUCCGCCGUCACCUCAGCGAGCACCAUGGAGACCGUCAAGGACUCCUGGAAUACCUGUAUAGGAUGUUCAACAAGUUGCGAACAUUGAGGGUGCGGCACAAGGUGGCCACGGGUAUCCAGGGCCUCAAAUCUCGUGCCCAAAAAGUGAGCGACCGGAGGCUCAGGUACACUCUAAAUGACUCAGCAGGACGGUCGAGCAAAGCUCUUGAUUCUUACAGCCACCUUGAAAACCUCAGCCACUGGCUGCCUGAAAUCAGUGGUGACGGGUCCGGGCUAGUGGGGAUGCACGGCAGAACUGAUGAGGUGGUCCGGUUGCUCAAGGAGCCACGCCAGGCAGCAGCGGGUCCCCGAGUAUUGUCCAUAGUGGGGUUCGGAGGCCUCGGCAAAACCACCCUCGCGACGACUGUCUACAACACCCCAAAGUUGGGAAGCAUCCAGUGCCGCGCUUUCGUUCCAGUGUCCCAGACAUAUGACAUCCGUUCUCUGCUCGAGUCCGUGUUGAAGCAGCUUCCACUUUUGGCUGACGAAGAUAGAAAUUAUGAUCCCCUCCUGAACAUGAAAGGCUGGAACACAAGGGAACUAGUUGACAAGAUCAAACAACAUUUGGAGGGCAAGAGGUACUUGAUCGUUCUGGAUGAUGUUUGGCAAGCAGCUGCAUGGGAUCAGCUAAAGGUAGCUAUUCCUCAUGAUAAUAAUAAUGAGGGUAGCAUAGUAAUUACUACACGCAGUCACGAGGUAGCGAAAAAUUGCUGCACCUCUUCUAAUGACCGUAUCUACGAAAUGAAACGCUUAGAGGAGGAUGAUUCACAUCAGCUAUUCUUCAAGACGGUGUUUGAAUCAGGGGAAUGCCCGACCGACCUGCUGAAAGUUUCUAAGGCCAUACUGGCAAGGUGCAACGGUCUGCCUCUAGCUAUAGUGAGCAUAGGACGAAUGCUAGCUCGGAGGCAAAACAAGACAUCGGCAGAAUGGCAAACAGUAUGUGAUAGGCUGGGUUCUGAACUAGAGACAAACCCCACUUUAGAGGGAAUGAGACGGAUACUUGCUCUCAGCUACAAUGAUCUGCCGUAUCAUCUGAAAGCAUGUUUUUUGUACCUGUGUGCUUUCCCAGAGGAUUUUGAUAUCAGAAGAGGCUCUCUGAUUAGACGGUGGGCAGCUGAAGGCUUGAUCAUUGGAAUGUAUGGCCGCAGUUUGGAAGAGAUUGCUCAGAUUUAUUUGGACGAGUUUGUGAGUAGAAGCAUCGUCAUCCCUGGACAGAUUGGCUGCACUGGCAAGAUUAGGAGUUGUAAAGUCCACGACAUAAUGUUAGAAGUCAUCAUCGCCAAAUCUGUCAAGGAAAAUUUUAUCUCAUUCCUAGGGAGCAGCCAAUACAACACAGCAGGCCAUGACAAGGUGCGACGGCUCUCCAUCCAUCCUGGUGGCGGCAAGGAGAAGAGAACAUUUUCCAGUAAAAACAUAGUUCAUACCCGUUCACUGUCAAUUCUGGGCAGCACUGAGAAACCUGUACCCAUCAAAUUUGCUGAUUUGACACUUUUAAGGGUUUUAGAUCUUGAAGGAUGUGGAUGGUUAAGAGAUCAAGAUGUGAAGGACAUUUGCAAACUGCCUCUGUUGAGAUACCUAAGCCUUAGAAACACUGCCAUAUCCCAACUACCAAAUGCAAUAGGGAAACUUAAAGAAUUGGUGACAUUGGAUGUAAGGGAAACUUCUAUUGGCGAAUUUCCCAAAGGCAUUACUCAGCUCCAAAAUCUGAGUCAUCUGCUUGUAGGCCGUUAUCAAUAUUACACAAGGACACGAAGUGUCAAGCAUUUAAAGGGUCAAGGAGCGAAGCUACCACAUGGAUUAGGGAAUAUGGGUGCCCUCCAGAGAAUCUCUCAUGCAGAUAUCUCUACAGAGAAAAGCUCCCGUGCAAUGCGUGAGCUGGGAAAAUUGUGUCAGUUAACCAGAUUGUGUGCAAUCAACAAGGGGGAAUCAAAGUUGUGGGAACCCUUUGCCGCUUCUUUGAAUGAGCUUAGCAACUCUCUUCGCCAUCUAUCGGUUGUGCACAAUAGUACACCCACAGGCCAGGAGCUGGAAUUUUUAGUAGGCCUAAGCAACCCCCCUCUGUUUCUGCAGAGCCUGCAUUUGAUGGGACGGCUAUCAAAGCUGCCUACAUGGGUUUCGUCGCUCAACAACUUGGCCAGUCUGUCGCUUCGAGAGAACCUCCACUUGGCUGAGGAAUCCUUUGAAAUUCUGGCGAAGCUUCCCAGUCUUGUAUCUCUCAAGCUAUACAGCAAGGGAUAUGUGGGGAGUGCCUUAUGUUUUGAAGAGGGCGGGUUUCCCCGGCUGAAGCAACUGGUCGUGGAUAAUAUGGAUGAGCUCGAGGAGCUCAGCUUCCGCGGGGGUGCGGCUAACCUUGAGAGGCUGACAUUGGCUUUCAUGAGGGUGCUCAGUAGAGGCAUUAAUGGCAUUGGAAAAGAAAACCUACCACAGCUAAGAGAAGUUGAGUUCUUCAGUGGCGUUAUAGAUUCUAUAUUCUGUAAGGUGUUUGAGGCGGCCAAAGAAUAUAAAAAUCGUCCGAAAGUCACCAGGGACGAUCGACCUACUAUAGAAGCCGCACAAGCAUCCGCCCAGCAAGUGAACGACACCGCAGGGGCGAGGAGCAGUGAGCAGGAGUCAACCGACCAGCAGGUGGAUAGGCCUGCAGAUGACGAGGCAGCGCCAGCUUGGCGUCUACUGCCUUCUACGUGUCCUCUCGCUUAUAUACUGUAA
This 2994-nucleotide ribosomal RNA is filed under the name Triticum aestivum (bread wheat). RNAcentral's name for it is "partial small subunit ribosomal RNA". The record is from RNAcentral. Lineage: Eukaryota; Viridiplantae; Streptophyta; Magnoliopsida; Poales; Poaceae.